RNAcentral lists this ribosomal RNA (1359 nucleotides) under Streptococcus thermophilus. RNAcentral describes it as "bacterial SSU rRNA". It matches the Rfam family "Bacterial small subunit ribosomal RNA", at positions 68 to 1414 of the family's 1533-position model. The record is from RNAcentral. Lineage: Bacteria; Bacillati; Bacillota; Bacilli; Lactobacillales; Streptococcaceae.
GAAGAGAGGAGCUUGCUCUUCUUGGAUGAGUUGCGAACGGGUGAGUAACGCGUAGGUAACCUGCCUUGUAGCGGGGGAUAACUAUUGGAAACGAUAGCUAAUACCGCAUAACAAUGGAUGACACAUGUCAUUUAUUUGAAAGGGGCAAUUGCUCCACUACAAGAUGGACCUGCGUUGUAUUAGCUAGUAGGUGAGGUAAUGGCUCACCUAGGCGACGAUACAUAGCCGACCUGAGAGGGUGAUCGGCCACACUGGGACUGAGACACGGCCCAGACUCCUACGGGAGGCAGCAGUAGGGAAUCUUCGGCAAUGGGGGCAACCCUGACCGAGCAACGCCGCGUGAGUGAAGAAGGUUUUCGGAUCGUAAAGCUCUGUUGUAAGUCAAGAACGGGUGUGAGAGUGGAAAGUUCACACUGUGACGGUAGCUUACCAGAAAGGGACGGCUAACUACGUGCCAGCAGCCGCGGUAAUACGUAGGUCCCGAGCGUUGUCCGGAUUUAUUGGGCGUAAAGCGAGCGCAGGCGGUUUGAUAAGUCUGAAGUUAAAGGCUGUGGCUCAACCAUAGUUCGCUUUGGAAACUGUCAAACUUGAGUGCAGAAGGGGAGAGUGGAAUUCCAUGUGUAGCGGUGAAAUGCGUAGAUAUAUGGAGGAACACCGGUGGCGAAAGCGGCUCUCUGGUCUGUAACUGACGCUGAGGCUCGAAAGCGUGGGGAGCGAACAGGAUUAGAUACCCUGGUAGUCCACGCCGUAAACGAUGAGUGCUAGGUGUUGGAUCCUUUCCGGGAUUCAGUGCCGCAGCUAACGCAUUAAGCACUCCGCCUGGGGAGUACGACCGCAAGGUUGAAACUCAAAGGAAUUGACGGGGGCCCGCACAAGCGGUGGAGCAUGUGGUUUAAUUCGAAGCAACGCGAAGAACCUUACCAGGUCUUGACAUCCCGAUGCUAUUUCUAGAGAUAGAAAGUUACUUCGGUACAUCGGUGACAGGUGGUGCAUGGUUGUCGUCAGCUCGUGUCGUGAGAUGUUGGGUUAAGUCCCGCAACGAGCGCAACCCCUAUUGUUAGUUGCCAUCAUUCAGUUGGGCACUCUAGCGAGACUGCCGGUAAUAAACCGGAGGAAGGUGGGGAUGACGUCAAAUCAUCAUGCCCCUUAUGACCUGGGCUACACACGUGCUACAAUGGUUGGUACAACGAGUUGCGAGUCGGUGACGGCGAGCUAAUCUCUUAAAGCCAAUCUCAGUUCGGAUUGUAGGCUGCAACUCGCCUACAUGAAGUCGGAAUCGCUAGUAAUCGCGGAUCAGCACGCCGCGGUGAAUACGUUCCCGGGCCUUGUACACACCGCCCGUCACACCACGAGAGUUUG